GAUGAACGCUGGCGGCGUGCCUAAUACAUGCAAGUCGAGCGAACAGACGAGGAGCUUGCUCCUCUGACGUUAGCGGCGGACGGGUGAGUAACACGUGGAUAACCUACCUAUAAGACUGGGAUAACUUCGGGAAACCGGAGCUAAUCCCGGAUAAUAUAUUGAACCGCAUGGUUCAAUAGUGAAAGACGGUUUUGCUGUCACUUAUAGAUGGAUCCGCGCCGCAUUAGCUAGUUGGUAAGGUAACGGUUUACCAAGGCAACGAUGCGUAGCCGACCUGAGAGGGUGAUCGGCCACACUGGAACUGAGACACGGUCCAGGCUCCUACGGGAGGCAGCAGUAGGGAAUCUUCCGCAAUGGGCGAAAGCCUGACGGAGCAACGCCGCGUGAGUGAUGAAGGUCUUCGGAUCGUAAAACUCUGUUAUUAGGGAAGAACAAAUGUGUAAGUAACUAUGCACGGCUUGACGGUACCGAAUCAGAAAGCCACGGCUAACUACGUG
Molecule: ribosomal RNA, 497 nt
Filed under: uncultured bacterium
Lineage: Bacteria
Description: partial 16S ribosomal RNA
Rfam family: Bacterial small subunit ribosomal RNA
Source: RNAcentral